Molecule: long non-coding RNA, 842 nt
Filed under: Homo sapiens (human)
Lineage: Eukaryota; Metazoa; Chordata; Mammalia; Primates; Hominidae
Description: HSALNT0137332
Source: RNAcentral
CCAAUGUGUUGUGGGAGGGACUCAGUGGGAGGUAAUUGAAUCAUGGAGGUGGCUAUCCCCAUGCUGCUGUUCUCAUGAUAGUGAGUGAGUUCUCACAAGAUCUGAUAGUUUUAUAAGAGGCUAUUUUCCCUUUGCUUGGCACUUCUCCUUCCUGCCAUCAUGUGAAGAAGGAUCUGUUUUCUCCCUUCCGGCAUGAUUAGAUUAUGUCAUAAGAAAGGGGCAGAAGAAGCAUCACCAACUCUAAGGAACCAAAGUCUCUCCAGCCACCAAAAUGAAUGCAGCUGCCACUUAGGGGAAGUGGACAAGGACAGAACCACCCAGAGAUGAUGGUGAGAAAAGGCAGAAGGCCUGGGAGCUGGAAAAUGACUCCAUGGAGUAAAAGAUCACAGCAUCCUUUGGGACAAGACCGAUGUUCAUGACAAGAAUGAAAACUAAUGCUGCAGCAAUGGAGAUUGUGAAAAUACAAAUUUAAAAAUGCAUACCUAAAGGAAAAUCAAGAAAAAAAGGAAAAUUAAGCAUUAAAUGGAACUCUGAGUAGUUACUAAAAGUAAGAAAAGGCAAAACAAAAUACCACCAGACUCUCUCCAUUACUACUUCCAACUACUGUUUCCCUAUUGACACAUAAUCUCUCAUCUGGAGUUCUGUUUGUGUUAUAAUAAUGAAUCCAAAACAUAAGCAGUUUAUUUCUCAAUAGCUAUAUUAACAAAGGUGUAUUUAUUAAUCAUUUGUAAUAAAAAUGAAUGUACACCAAGUGGUAGUAUUUUAGAGCUUAUUCUCAAUUAUAAAAAUAAUUAAGUUGCCUUAUAAAUGAAAUGUAGAAAAAAUAUUUUAAAAGAGUAUUU